AGAGAGGGGAGAGAGAGAGAGAGAAAGAGAAAAAAAGAGGGACAGAACGGCGACGGAACGCUGGGAUAUCCACCACGCGUUAACCAAUUCCGCGAGCAUCGCGCGUGCGUGUGCGCGCGAGUACGGGCGGACGUGAAUGUGUGCAGAGAAGCGUAUCCUCCCGUCGAGCGUGGAACGGACGAAAGCGUCGAGCUGUCAGCGCACCCCACCCCGAAAGCCCCUUUGAAACCAACCCCACCCAUCGUGACGAAACCCCCGCCUUCCCUCUCCGUGUCGCAGGCUCUUUCCCUUGACUAGUCGUUUCUCCAUCCCUCUUCGGACAAUCCCCCCCUAACUGUGACAACAUCGAGGAACUGUGUGCCUUGCACGAAAGCGAAAGUAACACGAGCGCGUAUCGACGCAAAUGGAAAUUACCUUAAAGAAAAUAUCACUAGAAAUAAAACCAUAAGUUGUAUCGCUUCGAGAUUCUUCGUUAUUCUUGUUAAAAUUGAGUACUCGUCUUAAUUCGCGCGAUUUUGGAAUCAAAAAAAGGAAAGGAAUAAAGAGUGGAAAGGAAAUGGAAAGAAAAGGGAGAAGAAGAAAUGUCUGAGAGAACGAAAAUACGAGAAGUACAUACAUACGAAUGUCAGAAAAGCAACUUGGUCCCUUUCGUUUCCACCGACGCGGACGAAUCAUAAUUCUUAUUUACCACCGGCUCGAAAUCAUCCCCUCUGCGGUGCUCUUUCCGGUCUUCGGCUCCAGUUUUGUCCAUUUCCUUUCCGACCACCCCACUUUCGCAACGAAGCGUGAACACCCAUCGGAGCAACCGUAGUAACAAGAAGAUACUUUAUAGCAACGUAAAAUUGUUGCUUUUAAAUUAUUGCACUAAAAUGAAAUUUUGCAAUAGGGUUAAAUCAUAAAAGAUAUUAUACUUUUAAAAAUAUAUCCUCUUUAUAUUCGCAUUUCUUUAGUUUUAUUUCCCCUGCUAUCGACGCGUGACCAAGUUCCAGCUUCUUGAAACGCAAGAAUGUCAGCCGGUCGAAGGGCCGGCUCUAUAAUAGCUAGGAACAGGUAUCGCGAUGAAACGCGCGUGUGUAUGCCCGUGAAUGAAAAAGGAUAUGUGAACCAACACAUUCGCAUCGAGGGUUUAUCAUUGACGACCAAUGAACAGCCCGCCAUUGUCCGAAGCUGACAUCCAGAGGCUGACAUUUUGAUUUGUCCGAGAUCCUACGAGGGUGGAAAUUUUUUUUCGAAGAAAAUGGAGUUGGCCUGCGUCCGAGCGGCGAAGUGAUGACUUUAUCCAAUCGACUCCAUUUCUCAUCCGCAUUCGUUCUCUACCCGCAGGCUGACCCGCAGUCCCAACCAGAGAAGAGAAGGAACCGGCCGCUCCCUCCUGUACGUUGUACGAGAGGAACGAGAGGUACCGUAGAUGAUAUCCUGCCUGCCGACGAACUUCGAACAGCCGACCUCUAACGUAACCGCACGCACAUCAACCAUACGCUCCUUCUGACUCGUUGAUCGACCCGAUCGAUACGUUCCGGUAUUUCAGAAGAGUUGGAAAAUAAUUGCCCUUUGAUCGAGGGUCGAGCGUUAAUAUGUGCAAUCUCUUUGUUCCUCGCGCUGGUGAGUCUCUAAAGAUACUUCGGUGUUUUAUCAAGUUUUAUAAUCGAUUUCGCUAAUUAAUAUCAAUAAUUAAAUAAUUGUAAAAGACUCA
Solenopsis invicta (red fire ant) is the source of this 1693-nucleotide long non-coding RNA. RefSeq lists it as uncharacterized. NCBI's taxonomy places the organism in Eukaryota, Metazoa, Arthropoda, Insecta, Hymenoptera, Formicidae. The transcript is spliced from 3 exons. The record is from RefSeq and is a predicted model, not a curated record.